This 440-nucleotide ribosomal RNA is filed under the name uncultured bacterium. RNAcentral's name for it is "partial 16S ribosomal RNA". It matches the Rfam family "Bacterial small subunit ribosomal RNA", at positions 338 to 795 of the family's 1533-position model. The record is from RNAcentral.
CCUACGGGGGGCUGCAGUGGGGAAUAUUGCACAAUGGGGGGAACCCUGAUGCAGCGACGCCGCGUGAGUGCAGAAGUAUUUCGGUAUGUAAAGCUCUAUCAGCAGGGAAGAAGAUGACGGUACCUGACUAAGAAGCCCCGGCUAACUACGUGCCAGCAGCCGCGGUAAGACGUAGGGGGCAAGCGUUAUCCGGAUAUACUGGGUGUAAAGGGAGCGUAGACGGCAGGGCAAGUCUGGAGUGAAAGCCCGGGGCCCAACCCCGGGACUGCUUUGGAAACUGCCAUGCUAGAGUGCUGGAGAGGUAAGCGGAAUUCCUAGUGUAGCGGUGAAAUGCGUAGAUAUUAGGAGGAACACCAGGGGCGAAGGCGGCUUACUGGACAGUAACUGACGUUGAGGCUCGAAAGCGUGGGGAGCAAACAGGAUUAGAUACCCUAGUAGUC